Molecule: long non-coding RNA, 416 nt
Filed under: Olea europaea (common olive)
Lineage: Eukaryota; Viridiplantae; Streptophyta; Magnoliopsida; Lamiales; Oleaceae
Description: long non-coding RNA (OEUR_LNC011325)
Source: RNAcentral
GAAACAAUACAAGGUGAAUGAUCGGAAAGACAACCGGAGGGAAGAAAAUUUACACCAAUAUGUGGCCUAUUUUGCACCCAAAUAUCAUUGAUCAUAGCCCUAUCUAUUUUGCUCCAAACCGAGCCAUUGGUCCAUGUGAGGAAGCAACCAAUAGACCGUACAUCCGUUAGACCCACUUGAAGGCAACAAUUUGUAAGAUCUUUGAUUUCAUAAGGGGUGACAUCCGCCCCAUUACUUUUCUCAUCAAAUUUAAGGAUGUUGUUGAAGUCCCCCAAAAUCAUCCAAGGCAAUGCAACAAUUGUGUUGAGAUCCAUGAUGUUUUCCCAAAGAGGCCUUCUAGAAACCAUAGUGUGGAAGCCAUAAACAAAACUAACAAGGAAGGUGAAGGAAGUUACCUUGCAAGUAGCUUUACAAUG